AACUUUACAAUGCGGGAAACCGUGAUAAGGGGACACCGAGUGCCAGCAACAUUUGUUGGCUGUCCGGGUGUGUAAACUACACCCGUUAGCAAGGGCCGGGCAAGACCGGUGCCAGCCGCCGCGGUAACACCGGCGGCCCGAGUGGUGAUCGUGAUUAUUGGGUCUAAAGGGUCCGUAGCCGGUUUGGUCAGUCCUCCGGGAAAUCUGACGGCUUAACCGUUAGGCUUUCGGGGGAUACUGCCAGGCUUGGAACCGGGAGAGGUAAGAGGUACUACAGGGGUAGGAGUGAAAUCUUGUAAUCCCUGUGGGACCACCUGUGGCGAAGGCGUCUUACCAGAACGGGUUCGACGGUGAGGGACGAAAGCUGGGGGCACGAACCGGAUUAGAUACCCGGGUAGUCCCAGCCGUAAACGAUGCUCGCUAGGUGUCAGGCAUGGCGCGACCGUGUCUGGUGCCGCAGGGAAGCCGUGAAGCGAGCCACCUGGGAAGUACGGCCGCAAGGCUGAAACUUAAAGGAAUUGGCGGGGGAGCACAACAACGGGUGGAGCCUGCGGUUU
RNAcentral lists this ribosomal RNA (557 nucleotides) under uncultured archaeon. Its description in RNAcentral is "bacterial SSU rRNA". It matches the Rfam family "Archaeal small subunit ribosomal RNA", at positions 346 to 903 of the family's 1478-position model. The record is from RNAcentral.